UUGAGCCAGAGAGAAAGGAA
This 20-nucleotide non-coding RNA is filed under the name Rattus norvegicus (Norway rat). Lineage: Eukaryota; Metazoa; Chordata; Mammalia; Rodentia; Muridae. The record is from RNAcentral.